This is a long non-coding RNA of Thalassophryne amazonica, 158 nucleotides long. RefSeq lists it as uncharacterized. The transcript is spliced from 3 exons. Lineage: Eukaryota; Metazoa; Chordata; Actinopteri; Batrachoidiformes; Batrachoididae. The record is from RefSeq and is a predicted model, not a curated record.
AAAAUGUAAAACCUUGUAUAUCUUGGAAACAGUAGCCAAUUAGCCACUGUUAUUGUCAUAUUUGAAUUCAACAUGCCAAAAUCCAUAAUAAAAAGCACAUUUUAUUUCUGAAGAAGACAACUUCUAAAUAUUUGCAUACCAUUAAAAAAUGAGAGCUG